UCGGGAAUUUUGGGCAAUGGGCGCAAGCCUGAUCCAGCCAUGCCGCGUGGAUGAUGAAGGCCUUAGGGUUGUAAAAUCCUUUCGCCGAGGACGAUAAUGACGGUACUCGGAGAAGAAGCUCCGGCUAACUUCGUGCCAGCAGCCGCGGUAAUACGAAGGGGGCUAGCGUUGUUCGGAUUUACUGGGCGUAAAGCGCGUGUAGGCGGGUCGUUAAGUUGGGGGUGAAAUCCCGAGGCUCAACCUCGGAACUGCCUUCAAAACUGGCGACCUGGACUCAAGUAGAGGCAAGUGGAAUUGCGAGUGUAGAGGUGAAAUUCGUAGAUAUUCGCAGGAACACCAGUGGCGAAGGCGACUUGCUGGACUUGUAGUGACGCUGAGACGCGAAAGCGUGGGGAGCAAACAGGAUUAGAUACCCUAGUAGUCCCUGAGCGGGCUGGCAAGGCGCAU
This 447-nucleotide ribosomal RNA is filed under the name uncultured bacterium. RNAcentral's name for it is "bacterial SSU rRNA". It matches the Rfam family "Bacterial small subunit ribosomal RNA", at positions 355 to 825 of the family's 1533-position model. The record is from RNAcentral.